RNAcentral lists this ribosomal RNA (1266 nucleotides) under Escherichia coli. RNAcentral describes it as "partial 23S ribosomal RNA". It matches the Rfam family "Bacterial large subunit ribosomal RNA", at positions 1291 to 2542 of the family's 2925-position model. The record is from RNAcentral. Lineage: Bacteria; Pseudomonadati; Pseudomonadota; Gammaproteobacteria; Enterobacterales; Enterobacteriaceae. RNAcentral also lists the same sequence under 1 other name.
CGAAUGCUGACAUAAGUAACGAUAAAGCGGGUGAAAAGCCCGCUCGCCGGAAGACCAAGGGUUCCUGUCCAACGUUAAUCGGGGCAGGGUGAGUCGACCCCUAAGGCGAGGCCGAAAGGCGUAGUCGAUGGGAAACAGGUUAAUAUUCCUGUACUUGGUGUUACUGCGAAGGGGGGACGGAGAAGGCUAUGUUGGCCGGGCGACGGUUGUCCCGGUUUAAGCGUGUAGGCUGGUUUUCCAGGCAAAUCCGGAAAAUCAAGGCUGAGGCGUGAUGACGAGGCACUACGGUGCUGAAGCAACAAAUGCCCUGCUUCCAGGAAAAGCCUCUAAGCAUCAGGUAACAUCAAAUCGUACCCCAAACCGACACAGGUGGUCAGGUAGAGAAUACCAAGGCGCUUGAGAGAACUCGGGUGAAGGAACUAGGCAAAAUGGUGCCGUAACUUCGGGAGAAGGCACGCUGAUAUGUAGGUGAAGUCCCUCGCGGAUGGAGCUGAAAUCAGUCGAAGAUACCAGCUGGCUGCAACUGUUUAUUAAAAACACAGCACUGUGCAAACACGAAAGUGGACGUAUACGGUGUGACGCCUGCCCGGUGCCGGAAGGUUAAUUGAUGGGGUCAGCGCAAGCGAAGCUCUUGAUCGAAGCCCCGGUAAACGGCGGCCGUAACUAUAACGGUCCUAAGGUAGCGAAAUUCCUUGUCGGGUAAGUUCCGACCUGCACGAAUGGCGUAAUGAUGGCCAGGCUGUCUCCACCCGAGACUCAGUGAAAUUGAACUCGCUGUGAAGAUGCAGUGUACCCGCGGCAAGACGGAAAGACCCCGUGAACCUUUACUAUAGCUUGACACUGAACAUUGAGCCUUGAUGUGUAGGAUAGGUGGGAGGCUUUGAAGUGUGGACGCCAGUCUGCAUGGAGCCGACCUUGAAAUACCACCCUUUAAUGUUUGAUGUUCUAACGUGGACCCGUGAUCCGGGUUGCGGACAGUGUCUGGUGGGUAGUUUGACUGGGGCGGUCUCCUCCUAAAGAGUAACGGAGGAGCACGAAGGUUGGCUAAUCCUGGUCGGACAUCAGGAGGUUAGUGCAAUGGCAUAAGCCAGCUUGACUGCGAGCGUGACGGCGCGAGCAGGUGCGAAAGCAGGUCAUAGUGAUCCGGUGGUUCUGAAUGGAAGGGCCAUCGCUCAACGGAUAAAAGGUACUCCGGGGAUAACAGGCUGAUACCGCCCAAGAGUUCAUAUCGACGGCGGUGUUUGGCACCUCGAUGUCGGCUCAUCA